CUAAUCUUGGCCAAGAUAUCCGAUAUUGCGCCAAUAUUGUCAAGCAAUAUUACGCCAAUAUUGUCAUACAAUAUUGGCAAACAAUAAUGGGCCAAUAUUAUCCAUUAUCGUUUUACUGAUAUUGUUAUGCCAAUAUUGGCGAAAUAUUGGACGAAUAUUAUCCCAUUAUCGAUUUACUCAUAUUGUUAUGCAAAUAUUAGCGAAAUAUUGUUUGCCAAUAUUGGCUUUAUGUUAAGUUUUACAUAUUGGUACGCAUGCGUAACAUUAAUGAAUAUUCAUAAUGUAUUUUAGUUUUGUUAAAUGUGUUUAAAUGUAAAUAAUAGUAUCUUUUUACAUAAACAGGCAUCCUUAUGUUAUUAAUUUUUUUACAAAAAAAAAUGAGUUCAAAAUAAAAAAUUUAAUUUAUGAAAAGAGAAGAAGUAGGAAAAGUAUUUAUAAUUCAACAUUUACAGAGUGAAUCAGGAGAAGAAGUAAUGGUAAUUUAUUUUGAAACAGAUAUUAUCACAAGAAGAAGUGGUAAGAGUAAUAAAAUUCUUUUAUUCAACAUUACGAAUUGAAUUACAAGAAGAAGUGGUUGUAAUUAAUUUAAAACAUAUUGCAUCGGGAGACGAAUAUAAAAAAUAUUUCUAUACUUAAGCAUCAAGAUUAAAAUACUGAUGUACCGUUAAAAUGAAGGUGGUAAUAAAGUUUACAAAAUUUGCUCUGGCUGAAUUUUUCAAUGAAAAAACAAUGUGUGCCAUGAAUGUAAUCGGUUUUUCAUGGCAUAUCAAUAAAAGUUUGGUGUAUUGGCCAAAUCACUUGCAAGCAUCUUGCCUUUAAACUGCCAUACGUAAAGUCAAGCUUUUAAAAGUAACUGAAAGCAGCUGAAAAUAAUAAUUUUUUGAUGAGCUUUCUUACUACGGUUGGAGGAGAUGAGAAACAACUUACAGCGACAAUCUUAAUACAGUUAAUGGCCAAAGAAGUAUGUUUUUCAUACUCAGUGUAUGGAAGGAACCAAAAACGUCCUGCAAGGUCGUUAUAGAUUUGCGUUUAGUCAUUUAUCGUUGUAUUCGUUUCUUUCGAAAUUGCUACUGACAAAAGUAUUAAAGAAAAAAUUGGCAGCUUUCUGGCGACGGCCAUUGAUAGAGAUUACGGAAGAAAAAUAGAACCGUAACUGAGCAACGCCCAAUAUUGAGCAAUGAAAUAAGUAUCGCCAAAAUAAUGAAAGUCGAUGCCCACUAUCUCAUAACUAUAACCUGUUUAACUCAAAAGAAUAAUGCAGCCUAGUACUAUAGUAUCACUUAAACAAGAAAACUGUUAGU
This is a long non-coding RNA of Hydra vulgaris (swiftwater hydra), 1301 nucleotides long. RefSeq lists it as uncharacterized. The record is from RefSeq and is a predicted model, not a curated record. NCBI's taxonomy places the organism in Eukaryota, Metazoa, Cnidaria, Hydrozoa, Anthoathecata, Hydridae.